UCCGGAGAGGGAGCCUGAGAGAUGGCUACCACAUCCAAGGAAGGCAGCAGGCGCGUAAAUUGCCCGAAUCCUGACACAGGGAGGUAGUGACAAGAAAUAACAAUACAGGGCUACAACUAGUCUUGUAAUUGGAAUGAGUACAAUUUACAUCUCUUCACGAGGAUCAAUUGGAGGGCAAGUCUGGUGCCAGCAGCCGCGGUAAUUCCAGCUCCAAUAGCGUAUAUUAAAGUUGUUGCAGUUAGAACGCUCGUAGUCGGAUUUCGGGGCGGGCCGACCGGUCUGCCGAUGGGUACGCACUGGUCGGCGCGUCCUUCCUUCCGGAGACCGUGCCUACUCUUAACUGAGCGGGGGCGGGAGACGGAACGUUUACUUUGAAAAAAUCAGAGUGUUUCAAGCAGGCAGCUCGCUCUUGCAUGGAUUAGCAUGGGAUAAUGAAAUAGGACUUUGGUGCUAUUUUGUUGGUUUCGAACACCGAAGUAAUGAUGAGAAGGGACAGUCAGGGGCACUCGUAUUCCACCGAGAGAGGUGAAAUUCUCAGACCAGUGGAAGGCGAACCACUGCGAAGCAUUUGCCAGGGAUGUUUUCACUGACCAAGAACGAAAGUUAGGGGAUCGAAGACGAUCAGAUACCGUCGUAGUCUUAACCAUAAACCAUGCCGACUAGGGAUUGGGGGAUGUUCACUGAUUGACUCCCUCAGCACCUUACGGGAAACUAAAGUCUUUGGGUUCCGGGGGGAGUAUGGUCGCAAGGCUGAAACUUAAAGGAAUUGACGGAAGGGCACCACCAGGUGUGGAGCCUGCGGCUUAAUUUGAC
Molecule: ribosomal RNA, 813 nt
Filed under: uncultured eukaryote
Lineage: Eukaryota
Description: SSU rRNA
Rfam family: Eukaryotic small subunit ribosomal RNA
Source: RNAcentral